RNAcentral lists this ribosomal RNA (348 nucleotides) under uncultured bacterium. RNAcentral describes it as "partial 16S ribosomal RNA". It matches the Rfam family "Bacterial small subunit ribosomal RNA", at positions 338 to 701 of the family's 1533-position model. The record is from RNAcentral.
CCUACGGGUGGCAGCAGGGGGGAAUAUUGGGCAAUGGGCGCAAGCCUGACCCAGCAACGCCGCGUGAAGGAAGAAGGCUUUCGGGUUGUAAACUUCUUUUAAGAGGGAAGAGCAGAAGACGGUACCUCUUGAAUAAGCCACGGCUAACUACGUGCCAGCAGCCGCGGUAAUACGUAGGUGGCAAGCGGUGUCCGGAUUUACUGGGUGUAAAGGGCGUGCAGCCGGGAAGACAAGUCAGAUGUGAAAUCCCGCGGCUCAACCGCGGAACGGCAUUUGAAAAUGUUUUUCUUGAGUACCGGAGAGCUCAUCGUACUUCCUUUUGUAGCGGUUACUUGCUUAGCUAUCCGG